RNAcentral lists this ribosomal RNA (435 nucleotides) under uncultured bacterium. RNAcentral describes it as "bacterial SSU rRNA". It matches the Rfam family "Bacterial small subunit ribosomal RNA", at positions 340 to 762 of the family's 1533-position model. The record is from RNAcentral.
UACGGGAGGCAGCAGUGGGGAAGUAUUGCACAAUGGGCGCAAGCCUGAUGCAGCCAUGCCGCGUGUAUGAAGAAGGCCUUCGGGUUGUAAAGUACUUUCAGUCGUGAGGAAGGUGUUAAGGUUAAUAACCUUAGCAAUUGACGUUAGCGACAGAAGAAGCACCGGCUAACUCCGUGCCAGCAGCCGCGGUAAUACGGAGGGUGCGAGCGUUAAUCGGAAUUACUGGGCGUAAAGGGCACGCAGGCGGUUAAUUAAGUUGGAUGUGAAAUCCCCGGGCUUAACCUGGGAAUGGCAUUCAAGACUGGUUAGCUAGAGUCUUGUAGAGGGGGUAGAAUUCCAUGUGUAGCGGUGAAAUGCGUAGAGAUGUGGAGGAAUACCGGUGGGCGAAAGGCGGCCCCCUGGGACAAAAGACUGACGCUCAUGUGCGAAAAGCGU